GAUUCCAUAAAUAUUUUUUUUUGUAAAAAUUUUUUAAAAUUUUUAUGGGGAGUAAUACGCUUUAGUUUUUUAGGUUAUCUAUUUGUUUUGUUGCUCUAAGGGGAAACCUUUUUUAAGUUUUUAUGUUUUUUAUAAAGGGGAAUUUUUUUUUAAUUGUAAAAUAAUUGUGUAAUAACAUUAUUUGAAUUUUUUUUGGUAAAAAAUAAUUUUUUUUUCUAAAGUGAAUAAUUAAUUAAUAAAUUAGUAGAUUAAUAGAAAAAUUGUUUUUUUUUUAUUGAAUUAAAACUUUUGAAAUUAUUAUUACUUACUGAUUUAUUCUUAGACUGGUUAAUAAAAUCUUAGCUACAAAUUUUGUAGUUAUUUCUGCUCUAUGCGAAAAAGUAAAUGGCUGUUUUUGACACUAAGGUAGCAAAAUCAUUAGUUACUUAAUUGGUAACCUGCAUGAAUGAAUUUUCUAAGAAUUUAUUAGGUUUUUGUUUGAAUUUAUAAAUUUGUUGAAAAUAACAAUUUUUCCUAUAAGACUAAAAGACCCUAAAAUUUUCAUAAUUUUUAUAAAAUUAUUUGGUUGGGGAAAUAAUAAAAAAUAAAUAUUUUAUGAUUUUAGUUUCUUAGAACUUUUACUAUAGACAAAAGGAAAAAUACUUUAGGGAUAACAGCUUAAUUAUUUUUUAGAGUUCUUAUUAAUAAAAUAGUUUUAGACCUCGAUGUUGGAUUGGAAAAACUUUCUGGGGCAG
RNAcentral lists this ribosomal RNA (734 nucleotides) under Analges turdinus. Its description in RNAcentral is "partial large subunit ribosomal RNA". Lineage: Eukaryota; Metazoa; Arthropoda; Arachnida; Sarcoptiformes; Analgidae. The record is from RNAcentral.